RNAcentral lists this ribosomal RNA (270 nucleotides) under uncultured soil bacterium. RNAcentral's name for it is "partial 16S ribosomal RNA". It matches the Rfam family "Bacterial small subunit ribosomal RNA", at positions 26 to 285 of the family's 1533-position model. The record is from RNAcentral.
AGAAUCAACGCUGGCGGCGUGCCUAACACAUGCAAGUCGAACGCGAGAGUCCCGCAAGGGACAAUUGAGUGGCAAACGGGUGAGUAACACGUGGGUGGCCUGCCUUCGAGUGGGGGAUAACGUUCCGAAAGGAACGCUAAUACCGCAUGACAUCCUGCUCUUGGAAGAGCGGAGAUCAAAGCUGGGGAUCGCAAGACCUGGCGCUUGAAGAGGGGCCCGCGCCUGAUUAGCUAGUUGGUGGGUAACGGCCUACCAAGGCGACGAUCAGUA